RNAcentral lists this ribosomal RNA (1349 nucleotides) under metagenome. Its description in RNAcentral is "bacterial LSU rRNA". It matches the Rfam family "Bacterial large subunit ribosomal RNA", at positions 1564 to 2925 of the family's 2925-position model. The record is from RNAcentral.
UGAGUGCGAGUUGCUACGGCAACGAAGUUGGUGACGUCAAGCUUCCAAGAAAAGCCCUAUACCCGUUAAGGCAUCAUGGCCUGUACCCGAAACCGACACAGGUGGGGUGGUAGGGAAUACCGAGGGGCGCGAGGUAACUCUCUCUAAGGAACUCGGCAAAAUGGCCCCGUAACUUCGGGAGAAGGGGUGCCACCGCAAGGUGGUCGCAGUGAAGAGGCCCAGGCGACUGUUUACCAAAAACACAGGUCUCCGCUAAGUCGCAAGACGAUGUAUGGGGGCUGACGCCUGCCCAGUGCCGGAAGGUUAAGGAAGCCGGUUAGCGUAAGCGAAGCUGGCGACUGAAGCCCCGGUGAACGGCGGCCGUAACUAUAACGGUCCUAAGGUAGCGAAAUUCCUUGUCGGGUAAGUUCCGACCCGCACGAAAGGCGUAACGAUCUGGGCGCUGUCUCGGAGAGAGGCUCGGCGAAAUAGAAUUGUCUGUGAAGAUGCGGACUACGUGCACCCGGACAGAAAGACCCUAUGAAGCUUUACUGUAGCUUGGUAUUGUGCUCGGGCUCGGAAUGCGCAGGAUAGGUGGGAGGCUAUGAACCAUUGCUUGUGGGUGAUGGUGAGCCACUGGUGAGAUACCACUCUUUCCGAGCUAGAGUUCUAACGGCCACCCGUUAUCCGGGGGCCGGACAGUAUCAGGUGGGCAGUUUGACUGGGGCGGUCGCCUCCUAAAAGGUAACGGAGGCGCGCAAAGGUUUGCUCAGGCUGGUUGGAAAUCAGCCGACGAGUGUAAAAGCAGAAGCAAGCUUGACUGUGAGACCUACAAGUCGAACAGGGAGGAAACUCGGCUUUAGUGAUCCGACGGUUCUGCGUGGAAGGGCCGUCGCUCAACGGAUAAAAGUUACUCUAAGGAUAACAGGCUGAUCUCCCCCAAGAGUUCACAUCGACGGGGAGGUUUGGCACCUCGAUGUCGGCUCAUCGCAACCUGGGGCUGAAGUCGGUCCCAAGGGUUGGGCUGUUCGCCCAUUAAAGCGGUACGCGAGCUGGGUUCAGAACGUCGUGAGACAGUUCGGUCCAUAUCCGGUGCAUGCGCAGGAAUAUUGAGAGGAUUUCUCCCUAGUACGAGAGGACCGGGAGGAACGCACCUCUGGUGUACCAGUUAUCGUGCCAACGGUAAACGCUGGGUAGCCAUGUGCGGAGAGGAUAACCGCUGAGAGCAUCUAAGUGGGAAGCCCACCUCAAGAUGAGUAUUCCCAUGGCGCUAGCCAGUAAGGUCACGGGAAGAACACCCGUUGAUAGGCUCUAUGUGGAAGCGCAGUAAUGCGUGGAGCAGAGGAGUACUAAUAGACCGAGGGCUUGAU